UGGUCCUAGCCUUGAAAUCAAUUAUUACUUAAUAUACACAUGCAAGUCUCCGCACCCCUGUGAAAACGCCCUUUACCUCCCACAGAAAUAAGGAGCCGGUAUCAGGCACAAUCAUUAGCCCAAGACACCUAGCUAUGCCACACCCACAAGGGAACUCAGCAGUGAUUAACAUUGAACAUAAGCGACAGCUUGACUCAGUUAAAGUAAAAAGAGCCGGCAAAUCUGGUGCCAGCCGCCGCGGUUACACCAUGAGGCUCAAAUUGAUCUUUUUCGGCGUAAAGCGUGAUUAAAGUUAUCAAAACAAUUAUAGUUGUAUUAAAACUAAGCCGUAAUACGCUUGUCUUUAAGAAACUCAAUAAACGAAAGUUACUAUAUUUAUCCCAACUUGAACCCACGACAGCUAGGACACAAACUGGGAUUAGAUACCCCACUAUGCCUAGUCGUAAACUUUUAACUACACCUACAUCGCCAGGGAACUACGAGCAAAGCUUAAAACCCAAAGGACUUGACGGUACCCCACAUCCACCUAGAGGAGCCUGUCCUAUAAUCGAUAACCCCCGCUAAACCUCACCAUUUUUGGUUAAUCAGCCUGUAUACCUCCGUCGUCAGCUUACCUCGUGAGCGAUCUAUAGUGAGCUUAAUGUCCACACGUCAAUACGUCAGGUCAAGGUGCAGUAAAUAAAAUGGGAAGAGAUGGGCUACACUCUCUAAUAUAGAAUAUACGAAAGACUAUAUAUGAAACCUAGUCAAAAGGCGGAUUUAGUAGUAAAAAGAGAUCAUUAAGCUCUUUUUAACACGGCACUGGGGUGUGUACACACCGCCCGUCACCCUCUUCAAUACCAAGAAAUAGUAUAUAACACAUAUCAGUAAACUAGAAGAGGCAAGUCGUAACAUGGUAAGUAUACCGGAAGGUGUGCUUGGAAA
Molecule: non-coding RNA, 924 nt
Filed under: Pseudacris regilla (Pacific treefrog)
Lineage: Eukaryota; Metazoa; Chordata; Amphibia; Anura; Hylidae
Description: partial 12S ribosomal RNA
Rfam family: Bacterial small subunit ribosomal RNA
Source: RNAcentral